Molecule: non-coding RNA, 30 nt
Filed under: Cricetulus griseus (Chinese hamster)
Lineage: Eukaryota; Metazoa; Chordata; Mammalia; Rodentia; Cricetidae
Source: RNAcentral
AGGAUGAGUGAACUGUAUUUUAGGGUGCCU